GGGAGAGUCUCUGCGUCCUCCAGCCCCCGCUUCCCUUCAUGUCGGAGGUCCUAAGCCCGCAGCGAAGUCCGCAAAGAGCUUUCCCCGACGCCUACGAGACCGGAAGUGCCUGGGCCCAGGUGGAGGAAGGACCCGCGUGGCCGCCUCCGCGCUCUCCCUGGGGUCCGUGCCCCUUCCGGCGUUUCUCCCGCGUCCUUCACCAUGGCAACUCGGGCGUCGGGAGCGUGGGCUGCGAGCCGAGUGGGUGGGGGAGCCGCCGGGCUCUAUCCGCCAGCCCACGAGAAGUGACGCAGGAGCACCAUUGAAGGAGAAUUAGACAAACUGGAGUCUACUGAGAUGAGGCUGUUGGGAAUGGCCCUGGUACCACAUCCUGAGCAGGGAUGGCCGAUGGAAUGGGGAGAAGACUCAGGUGGGGCUUGAGUGUGUCCUCUGAUGACUGAAGAGCCUUGGGAGCAAGCAUCCUUCCUGCUACUGUGUGUUUGCUGGUUCCAAUGAUACAUAAUUUGUGCUUUUCGUAAUUAAAGUAUUAUCCUGUA
Molecule: long non-coding RNA, 536 nt
Filed under: Homo sapiens (human)
Lineage: Eukaryota; Metazoa; Chordata; Mammalia; Primates; Hominidae
Description: long intergenic non-protein coding RNA 3086
Source: RNAcentral